UACAGUAUUUAUUAAUCUUUGUUAAUGUUAGUUGAUAAAAAUAACAUUUUUCAUUGUUAAUGUUAGUUCAUAGUACCUUAAUGUAAACAUCAUACUUUUGAUUUUAAAAAUCAUAUGUUAAAAUUAACAUUAACCAAGAUUAAUAAAUGCUGUAAAAUUAUUAUUCAUUGUUAAAGGUGCAGUAUGUAACAAUUUUCAUGUAAUAUUCACCUUUUUAUUUUAUUUUAUUUAUUUUUUUUUUUUGUCAAUGUGUGAACAGCUUGUAACGCAACUUAAAAAAUGAGCCCUUCCCAGACUUCCUAGGUUGCCUAUUAAAGACUGUAGACUGAUUUUCAUGAGAAGGGAGCGGGUCGGUUUUGCCGGGAUAAUCCAAAGGAUGUGACGUUUAUGCGCGAUCCUGAGAGCCUUGCCACAGUGCUUCUCUUCCACUAUUCAACAGUGACAACAAAUUGCAACACUAGGUAACGUUAUCUUAGAGAUGGAAUCCAGCAAACGGCCGGCUCCCAGCACAACACCGACUCCUACACAAACACCGAGUAAGCCAAAAAAACCCCAAAACAUUUAUCUACUGAAUCCCGUCUGGCUAAGUGGGAACGUGAUUGUGGUCGAGCGAAAACUAGAGUGAACGUCAGGAGGGCAUUUGAUUCCAAUAAUUUCAACGAUCUUCUCUUUAUACUAAAAAUUAGGUAUAAAAGAUAAAUUUAAGCAAAUACACUUGUUUCUUGAUCAUAGUACAACAUAUGACAUACAAAACAUACCAUAGUGCAACAUAACAGUGCAGUGCAACAGUAAACAGUCUGGUAUAGUCGGUAGUAUGUAGCUGUAAGUGUGUAAGUGUCAGUAUGCUAUGUUAGCUGAUAAGUAGUUUUAGUUUAGUCUCAAAGUUUGUGGUAAAACAAUCAUAAUUGUGUCAUUUUAAUUAUGCUACCCCUGUCAGCAUGAUGCCGGUGGAUCACGUUCAGUCUCUUUGUACGUUACGUCAUUGUUUUGGGGAGAACCAACUAACCUUCAAGCUAUUUCAUCAAAGCACUAUCUGCAGUCCCCAGGUGGGCAUGGAUGAUGGAAAGGAUGUGACCCUUUAGAGAAUUUGUGUGUUGGGGUAUGACAGAGGAACAGUUCCCAUCCUUGGGUGUCAGGUUACCAGCUUCCCCCUAUGGAGAGGUGUAACUACACAGAGUCACCUCUGUGACCCUUGUUAAAAGGGCGUGGCGUGAAGCUGACCCCGCCCCUGCAAGCUCUUCAACCUCUGAGAAAGCUUCCUGCAAAAAGGGCAGGAGCUUACAGGUUCUCUCGGCUAGAAAGAACACAAUCAACAUCGGUAAGGUAAAAGUAUGUAAGGCAACAGAGAUAUUUAAGUGUUUUUGUGUUUGUACGAGCAUAAGCACGAGCAACAGGUAGCUGGCUGCAGUUCACUUAACAGGUGUCAUUAAUAACAAGGGUUUCUGAAUCUUACAUACUGCACCUUUAAUGAACUCAUGUUGUUUAUGUUAACAAAUGGAAACUUAUUUUAAAGUGUUACCACAAUAUUACUACAGUAAAACCAUAGUUAAACUAUGGUAUUUGCAUAGUAAAACCAUGAUACCAAUGAAAAUUAUGAUUUUUAUUACCAUAGUUUUCGCUUUCCUGUAUUAUCACUAUGGUUUCACUACGAAUAUCAUGGUUAAAAUAUGGUUACUGUAGUAAAACCAUGGUCAUUUUAUUGCGAGGGCAUGCAAAACUAUUUCAGAAAAAUUUACCAUCCUGUCCUCUAAGGGACAGCCGGUUAGAAGUUUUCCUAAAUGUUCUCCCAGGCAAGCUUUCCGAAUCACCGAAACGAAUGCAAAACACCUUCUUUUUGGCCAUAUUUUGUUCUAAAUGACGUCAUACCUGUUCGUUCUUCAAUUUGUAUUAAGUAUAUCUGGACUUUUAUGCAGACACCUGUAGAACAAUCACCAAAUUACACUUAAUAUACGUAAAGGAAUAUACCCAAAAAAGAUUUUUAGAAGAAUAUCUCAGCUCUGCAGGUCCCCACAAGGCAAGUGAAUGGGUACCAAAAUUUUAAAGCUCCAAAAUGCACAUAAAUGUAGCAUAAAAGUAAUCCAUAAGACUUCAGUGGUUAAAUCUUUAUCUUCAGAAGCGAUAUGAUAUGUGUGGCUAAGAAACACAUCAAUAUUUAAGUCAGUUUUCCAUAAAUUCUUUUCCUUGCCCUGUAGGUGGUGAUAUGCACGAUGAAUGCAAAUCACCAAAAACAAAAUAUUGUGAAAGUGAAAGUGGAUUUAAUCACUGGAGUGAAUGAAAAUGAAAAAUGAAAGUUUGAAACCGUUUUUCUAUUUUUGCAUUUAGACUGGUAUGGUCUGAAAACUGAAAUGUGAAGCGUUACACAGCAUUACCUACUCAAACAUUGUUAUUUGUCAUUAUGCAUUUGUGCCUCAUAUUUAAUAUUUAUACUCUGUCACAGUUGUUCUUUGUUCUGUGUUAGUGCUGUGAGCAAAGCACCACAUAAAUAUGCAAAAAAAAAAAAUAUUCUUUUAUUAUUACUAAGUUAAGCUGUAGCUAGGUAGCAAAUAUAGAUUUGGGUGUUGUUGGGGAAGCAGUUUUUAAUGUUUUAAAGUUUUUAAUGCAAGUUUUUUAUAUAACAAUCUCAUUUAGGGUGAGCAUAAAACAUGAACAGAUAUUUAGACCAAAUACAUCUAUAAAAUUAGACUACAAACUAAUUUAUUACAAAAGUAUAGCGUAAUGUUUGCAGGAACGAGAGGAGAGAAAGAGGGUCUAAGUGCAGGCCUUUUUAAUAUAAACACAGUAAAUAAACACAAGAAACAAAAACUUGAGAACAGAACAAACCACUACAGCCAUGAAUUGAUAAGAACUGACAAAGAACACAGGGGAAAACAGGGAUUAAAUACACAAGGACUAACAGGGUUAAAUGACACAACUGGGAGUAAUAAACACAAGAACAACGACAAGGAAAAGAACUAUAAAACACAUAAUAAAAUGAAAGACACAAAGUACAUAGUGACCACUGGUGGUCGCCAGGGUAAACCUAACAGAGCCCCCCCCCCCAAGGAGUGGCUCUAUAUCUGAAGCUCUUUAACACACACAAAAUAGUUAAUGGGAGGAGCAGGAGAUUAUGGAGCUGGCAGUCCAGCAGAGCACAGGAGGGGAAUAAGAAGAGCUGAAGGCCAAGGGUGAAUCCGGAGAGACUGCUGGAGGGUGAGAUGGACCAGGCGGCGAAGGCGGAGUGGGCAGAGGGUCCGGAGACCAACAGAAACCAGGAGACCAGGGCAGAGAGCCUGGAGACAGACGUGGACCAGGAGACUAAGGCAUAGUCGGCGGAGGGCCCGGAGACCAGGGCGGACGGCCAGGAGACCAGGGCGGACCAGGCGGACAGCCAGGAGACCAGGGCGGACCAGGCCAGACCAUGCGGACGGCCAGGAGACCAGGGCGGACCAGGCCAGACCAUGCGGACGGCCAGGAGACCAGGGCGGACCAGGCCAGACCAUGCGGACGGCCAGGAGACCAGGGCGGACCAGGCCAGACCAUGUGGACAGCCAGGAGACCAAGGCGGACCAGGCGGAGCAGCAGAUGACCACUGGGAACCUGGUGGAUGGCCGUUAGAAGCUGGCAUGGUCCAGGCAACAGGGGAAUUAGAAAGCUCAGAAGUGAGAACAGCUGGGGACUCAUAGGGCCCAGAGGUCAAGCCAACAUGGAUCAGAGUAGGAGGAGACUCGGAGAGCGAGGCACUGGGGAGCAAGGCACUAGGCAGCUUGGAACUCAGAGGGCUCAUAGACCAGAGAAACUGAGGAUUCAAGGAACAGAGCCAUGGGAAACUCGAGGUGCGGAGCCGCAGGCGGAAGAUUCUCAGGAGGAGAAACGGACGGAGCAGCUGGACCGGGGUCAUAUUGUAAGGGGGUGGCUAAUGUGCACUGAACAAACUGGUAGCGUUUGUCUGACAGGUGCUGGCCACAGGACUGAGCAACAGACUAUUCAACGACUGCUGGGGACUGGACAGGCCCAAAGGUCUCCGGGGCCUGGAUGGGCUCGUCGACGGCCUCGGGGAACUGGACUGGCUCGUUGAUGGCCUCCGUGGCUGGGAGCGCUGGCAGCGACUGGGGAAUUCCUCCGUGGCCGGGAGCGCUGGCAGCGACUGGAGAGUUGGAGCCCUUCUCCUCCUCCUCCAGACGGCCGGGAGCACUGCUGUAGGAACAACAUCUGUGGCCGAGAACACUGGCACUGGGACGGCAGAGGCUUCAGGUGCUAGCUCUGGGAUGACAGAGGGAUUACUGCCAUACCCCAGGAGCUGGCUCGUUGACAGUGGCAGGCAUGGGCACUGGCUCGUUGACUGUGGCAGGUGUAGGCACUGGCAGUGGCAUGGGAUUACUGCCAUACCCCAGGAGCUGGCUCGUUGACCGUGGCAGGUGUGGGCGCUGGCUUGUUGACUGUGGCAGGCACUGGCAGCGGCAUGGGAUUACUGCCAUACCCCACAGUGUAAGGGGAAAAUGUGAGCCUGAAAGCAUAGUCAGUGAACUCAAUCAAGGAAGAUCACAUCUGCUGUCCUGGCAGACAGGAUUUCACAGGCUCAUUGAGUCCAAAACGAUAACAGUCCUUGAGAGCAAUAUCUCCCCAUUUGAGAACCUGGGUGAGACUGCAGGACUGCUCUGUAUACUGCUCAAUGGUACCGCCUCCUUGUCUGAGAGACAACAGUUGCAACGCCGCUAGAUCCAUAGUGUGGUUCAGUUUUCUGUAAUGUUUGCAGGAAUGAGAUGAGAGAAAGAGGAUCUCAGUGCAGUCCUUUUUAAUAUAAACUCAGAAAAUAAACACAAGAAACCAAAAACUUGAGCAAAGAACAAACCACUACAGCCAUGAAUUGAUAAGAACUGACAAAGAACACAUGGCUUAAAUACACAAGGACUAAUAGGGUUAACAAGACACACCUGGGAGUAAUAAACACGAGAACCAAUGAACAACGACAAGGAAAAGAACUACAAAACCCAUAAUCAAAUGAAAGACACAAAGUGAACAAUAAACAUAUAUAGCGACCCCUGGUGGUUUCCAGUUUAAUCCGUACACAUAGUAAUGAACAGCGGCAUUCUGUCUCAUUUUGCUUGAAAUCAGCCAUACCAUAUCAGUAUGUUGACCUUUAGGACCUUAACAUUUCUUGUCACCGGCUGUCUUAAUUUUCUUGGAAGAAAUUAGCACUGUAGGUCAUUUGUUCACAUGACUAUAGUCGUUUAUAAUUGCUUUGACACAAAAUGCAUUGAGUAAGCCUUGUAGAUCAAAAUAGUUUGCAUUAAUUUGCUAUUGAAUGAUAUUACUCUCAAAUGCAAUGUUCAUUAUGUAAAUCCCUACAAGCUAAAUAGAACAAACAACAAUCACAAUAACCUGUCACACAUAUAUUAGAUACAUAAUAGUUAUGUUGUACUAGUUGUCAGAUGGAUAGACUUAGGCUUGAUGGGGAACAAUUCAAUUUCCUCACAAUUUAGAGCAAAGUAUGUACAGGUAAGAAUUCAUCAUUGUACACUACACAGUGCUGUAAUCUCCUUGUCUUUCAGUAUUGACAGGUACAACCUGUAUAUGUAGAAUAUGUUACACAAUGUGGGAUAUGUGUAUGAUUUACAAUAUCUACUGUAAAUUAUUUCCUAAAUUGCUAAAUUACUUUACUAUCUUUUAUAGAGAGUGAUAGAGCUGGAGGUUGAUGAAUCCCCACACAUUUUUGUGUAUGUUGAUGAGGCAGGAUUCAACUUGACCAAAUUUAGUAGACGUGGCCAUAAUAUUAUUGGUCACCGAACCACUGUUGAUGUGCCAGGCCAGCGUGGAGGGAACAUUACAAUGUGUGCUGCCAUAUGUGGGAAUGGUGUACUCAGCCACAUUCCCAUCAUUGGGCCCUAUAACACACAACAUCUCCUCAAUUUCCUGGAAACUCUUUACAGGGAUCUCAUUCCUGAGAAUGAGAGGGGGUUGGUAAGAAAUGACUUGCCAAUAUAUGUUACUGUAUAGUUUGGGACAAUGUAAGUUUCCAUCAUUCAAAUACAGUCAGGGAAUGGUUUGUUGCCCACCCACCCAAUGGGGAGUAUGAUGGAGUUUCUCCCUCCAUACUCCCCAUUCCUAAAUCUCAUUGUGGAGUUCUUUUCUGCAUGGAGUUGGAAGGUCUAUGAUCACCGUCCUCACAACCAGUUGUCCUUACUUCUUUCUAUUUCUUCUGCUCCAAACUUACUUCAAAUGUACUUCUCUGACUGCUCGUAUGAAUGUAAAACUUCAUAAGAAAGUGUUUCACCGCUGUUCAAAUGCACUUUGGAUCGCAUCAUUUAUAUGUAUAAAUGUUUUCCAUCUGAAAGGACUAAAUAUUAAAUGAAACAAAUGACAAUAAAAUGCAAAUUAAUCUCUUCAGUAAUCAAAAUACUUUUUUAAUGCAACUGUAUUCUAAUUAUAAAUGAUUUAAACUGUAACUGUAGUGGAAUACAGUUACUAAUAUUUUGUAUUUUAAAUACGUAAUCCUGUUACAUGUAUUCCGUUACUCCCCAACCCUGUCAGUAGAGUAUGUCAUGUGUGUUUAAAGCUACAACCUGUCUUGCAUCGACUUGUAAGUCAGUGGUAAAAUACGCUGGCCACCACCCCUGGAAUUCGCUAGUUCGCUAGUUCGAAUCCCAGGGCAUGCUGAGCGACUCCAGCCAGGUCUCCUAAGCAACUAAAUUGGCCCGGUUGCUAGGGAGGGUAGAGUCACAUGGGGUAACCUCCUCGUGGUCGCUAUAAUGUGGUUCGUUCUUGGUGGGGCGCGUGGUGAGUUGGGCGUGGUUGCCGCAGUGGAUGGCGUGAAGCCUCCACACGUGCUAUGUCUCCAUGGCAACGCGCUCAACAGGUCACGCGUUGACAGACGCGGAGACAACUGGGAUUCGUCCUCCACCACCCGGACUGAGGCAUAUCACUACACGACCACAAGGACUUAAAAAGCACAUUGGGAAUUGGGCAUUCCAAAUUGGGAGAAAAAGGGGAAAAAAUCUAAAAAAUCAAUAAAUAAAUAAACAAUUUCUACUCGCUCAACACCGGUUUCAUGUACAACAGUAAAGAGAAGACUCAAAGGUGCAGGCCUUAUGGGAAGAAUUGCAAAGAAAAAGCCACUUUUGAAACAGAAAAACAAAAAGAAAAGGCUAGAGUGGGCAAAGAAACACAGACAUUGGACAACAGAUAAUUGGAAAAGAUUGUUAAGGAUCUUAACCACAUUGAGCUUUUGUGCACUGGCACUGGUGGUUGAUGGUGUGUCUCUGACUGCUGCCGUGGACACUAUUGCACUGGUGGUUGAUGGUGUGUCUCUGACUGCUGCCAUGGACACUAUUGCACUGGUGGAUGAUGGUGUGUCUCUGACUGCUGCCGUGGGCACUAUUGCACUGGUGUUUGAUGGUGUGUCUCUGACUGCUGCCGUGGACACUAUUGCACUGGUGGUUGAUGGUGUGUCUCUGACUGCUGGCAUUUGCACUUUUGCACUGGUGGUUGAUGGUGUGUCUCUGACUGCUGGCAUUUGCACUUUUGCACUGGUGGUUGAUUGUGUGUCUCUGACCACUGGCGUUGGCACUGGUGGUUGAUGGUGUGUCUCUGACUGCUGGCGUGGGCACUGUUGCACUGGUGGUUGGUGGCAUUUUGGCUGAAGUGGGAUGCUGUUUAUGUUUACAAACAUAUGAAUGAUUUUCAAAAUCGUCUCUCCUUAAAACUGUAGCUGCUCAGUACAGACAGUGAUAAAGGAGUGGUGCUCUACAGCCCAAGCCACAUCUGUCAAAAGUAAAUAUAAAUAUUUGUGCUACAUACAGUAUAUUGACAAACCACUCAAGAUGUUUAUAUCUCCAUUGACAACUGCCUUGGAGUGGCUUUGGAGAUGCAACUUUAAUUUGUCCAGUCUUGUCGGCUUAAACACACUUGCCAUGCAAAAAGGGCACUGAAAAUUGCUGCAACAGAUUUUGCAUUGCUGCAACUGAGGUAAUGCUUGACCUCUCCAAAUUGUAAUAUGUCUCUACAAUGGGAAAAAUGCACCACACGCAAUGCUCAAUUUCGGAAAUUUUGACCAACCCACAAAAUACUUACAGUGCUCAAGAGUAUUAGUAAGCUACCAUAAACUCAAAAACCAUAGGCCUAAAUAAAACAAAACAAAAGGGAACAACCCAUAUAUAUUCAGAAAUAUAUAUUUGUAUCGCUGGUGUCGCUGUCCUUUUCUUCAUAUCGAUCUCCCCUUCGGCCUAUCGCGGCGCGAUGAUAGAUUUAUUAAGAUUUUACAAAGACAACAACUCAUUGUCAUUAGCUCCGCCCUAACUUCUGGCCUGAGACUGCUGGCCUGGCGCUGCUGGCCUGAAACUGCUGUGACAUAUGUCUCUGCGGCUCUGCAGAUGGAUAUUGUUGGAUUUCACAGCAAUGCUCAGGACAAUGUGUGAGGGAUCCUGCAGGGGUCAGCAUUGAGCUCCUGCUGGUUCCUCUGCUCGGUUUGCUUGUUUCAUAAACUCUUAUUUAAGGGUGUGCAUUAAAGGACAGAUCUGGAGGCUGUGUUUAGUCUGAUCCUGCCUGACAGUUACAUGAGAGGAACAUGUAAAGAAGAUGAGCUGGAUGAUCUGGAAGAGAGUGUUGCAGAGGAAAGGGAGGGUAGAGAUUGGGAGGAUAAUGUGUCUCAACAAAGUCUUCUUAAGAUGAAGCUUCCAGAGGCUGUCAAAUUACAGCAAAGUUUACAGUUCAUUUAAAGGGAGAGUUCACCCAAAAAUCAACAUUCUGUCAUCCUUUACUCACCCUCAUAUUGCUUGAAACAUUUACGAAUUUUUAAAUAAAAAUGCUAAGGAGUGUGGCCACGGGUGUCAAGCUCCAAAAAGGACAAAAAAGAACCAUAAAGUAGUCCAUAUGAUUUUUUACCGAAAUGUAAGUUAAGCUUUUGGGUGAACUGUCCCUUUAAUACACAAUUGUCUCCCCAUUUCUGAUUAUCUCUCUUAUAAUGUCUCCUUUUCUCCCCCUUUUCCAUCUCCUCAGGUGUGCCACCUUCUCCAGUACCCGUGUGACUACCAGGCGCAUCACAAGUAGAGGCUUUGUUGGCAUUCUCAGUUGAUUUUGUUGGUCAUCUCCAAGAUAAUCAACACUUACGGUACAAUGAAGUCAUGGGUAUCAGAUAACAUAUCUGCUACCCUCACUGCAUGCAAAACAAAAGAGUUCUGCUCUCCCCCACAGAAACAGAUCAACAUCAUGCUGAACUUCUGGGAGGAGAGUCAGAAAUGUCCUUGUCCAGAGGAGAUCCAAGAUCUGCUGUGGGAAUUCCAUCAGUAUCUAAUGAGACACUGCAGUAAGCAGCCAAUCACAGAGGAGUGUAGUUAGGAUGACCAAUGCCAUAAUUUCACUGCCCUCAGCUGGCAUCAUGAACUCUCAUAUUUAAAACAUUUAUCCCCAUGUCUGUGUGUAAUUUAGGAAUUGAUACAGAUAGCGAUUCCAAAGAUGAGGAUAAAGAUGACCUGUCAGGAAAAACCUCCAAGGCCUAGUGUAUAAAGUAAUUUGUUUCAAGAGAGAUUGUGAAUAAACUGGGUAGGGAAAACUGCCAGAAAUGUGUUUUUAUUAGGGCUGGGAAAUGUAAUGCGUAGAGGUCGACCGAUAUAUCGGUUCUGCCUAUUAAUCGACACGAUAUCAGAUAGGGCUGUAACAAUACGCAAACCGUAACCGAAAUUGCGAUACAAACAUCCACAUUCCCAUGUCGUGGUUCGAGAAGACCGAACUGCGACACGCCCCUCUCCAACCCCAGCAGCCUGCCAUCAGUUACAGUUGCAGCCCACAGUUGCCAACAGUUUCAGUGAUAAUGUCACUGAAACACACAAUCUUGGCAUCCAUGAAGCACAAUGACUCAGAUUCAACAGUUGUGAAAGAUGUCAAAACUGCCAUUUGCAUCUGACUUCCAAGAGAGAUACCCUGAUACUGACACAACACUAACCCAGUUCCUUCAUGUGAGCACUGCACUUGACCCACAUUUCAAAACUCUGCCUUCUCUGGAUGUGACCACCCAUGGCAUGAUCUUCAGGAGCCUGAUUGACAGUAUUCUGGAAGACUGUCCUCCACAGGCCCAGGCCUCCAGAGAGGAGACAGAGGAGCAAUCAGAGGUGGUAUCCAGCAGCAGUGACUGUCCUCCAGCAAAAAGAGCACCAAUCACUGAACUCUUUGGAAAAUUCUUUCCAGCGGAACAGGCACCACCACCACCCAAGCCCUUGUCUCAAGUGGUGGAGGAGGAGGUGCAGCAUUACAAGGCAGUGCAGAACCUCCCAGUGGAGUCAAAUCCGCUUAUGUGGUGGAAGGACAAUGAGAGCCAGUUUUCCCAAUUUUGCCAAGUUGGCUAAACGUUACCUUGGAGUCCCAGCCACAUCUGUCCCCAGUGAAAGGGUUUUCUCCACUGCAGGAGACAUCAUCACAGCACAGAGGGCAAGCCUCUCACCAGACACUGUGGACAUGAUGGUGUUCCUAAAGAAAAACUUUAAACUUACUUGAAUUAUGUUUACACAGAUAUGUUUUUAUUAUUUAGAUUUGUUUAAUUCUGAAGAGAGCUGUUCACAAAGAGAAAAGUUAUUUAGUUAGUUCAUGGGUUACAGCACAGACAGCUGGCCUGUUACCUCAGAGUGUGGAAGAGAAUGUAAAAUUAUUUGUUAUUUAUCACUAUUUAUUUAUUUUCCUUACAUUGUAUGUGAACAGUUAAUUUUGUUAUUUAGUGUUCAAGUCAAUCUAUGUAAUUAUGCUAUUCAUAUCCUGUUCUUCUAGUGUUCCAGAUUGUUGAACCUAUUCGUGAUUUAAUAAAGAAAAACAUUUUUUUUUUUCA
Molecule: long non-coding RNA, 10786 nt
Organism: Myxocyprinus asiaticus (Chinese sucker)
Lineage: Eukaryota; Metazoa; Chordata; Actinopteri; Cypriniformes; Catostomidae
Exons: 3
Source: RefSeq, a predicted model, not a curated record